Molecule: ribosomal RNA, 541 nt
Filed under: uncultured bacterium
Lineage: Bacteria
Description: partial 16S ribosomal RNA
Rfam family: Bacterial small subunit ribosomal RNA (bases 1-275)
Source: RNAcentral
UGAAAUUCCGGGGCUCAACUCCGGGGCUGCAUCUGAAACUGCAUUUCUUGAGUGCUGGAGAGGAAAGCGGAAUUCCUAGUGUAGCGGCGGAAUGCGUAGAGAUCCGGAAGAACACCGGUGGCGAAGGCGGCCUGCUGGGCAGUUGCUGACGCUGAGGCGCGACAGCGUGGGGAGCAAACAGGAUUAGACACCCUGGCAGUCCACGCCGUAAACGAUGGCUCUCCUUCGGGAGAGUGAAAGUGGCAAACGGGUGAGUAACACGUUGGUGACCUGCCCCCAGGCGGGGGAUAACCCUGGGAAACCAGGGCUAAUACCGCGGAUGUCUGAAGCUUUAGAAAAUUCAGACUAAAACUGAGGUGCCUGGGGAGGGGCCUGCGGAAACUCCUGUCUUCAGGGACGAAUAAUGACGGUACCUGAGGAGGAAGCCACGGCUAACUACGUGCCAGCAGCCGCGGUAAUACGUAGGUGGCGAGCGUUGUCCGGAAUUAUUGGGCGUAAAGGGCGCGUAGGCGGCUCUUUAAGUCAGAUGUGAAAACCCAGG